UGCUGACCCGCCGAUGGCACCCACAAGCAGGACUCAAUGCACAACCAAAAGACUCUUCACUGAAGACGAACCGCAAAAAUGUGAAGGCGGAGGUCUGGAGAGCUGAUACGGAUCAGAACAAACUGUCAGUGACGGCUGAGACGUGGAAUAAAGACAGACCUGCAAACAUCAGGCGAGUAUCUGUUAGAGAAUCACAGCCGGCAGACAAACCCGAGGCUCAGGUAGACACGGGAGAACAGAAUAUUCAGGCAGAAAAUAUUCGUCAGCAAAACCGACAAACUGAACCGUGUUUAUCAGAAGCUAUCCAGCGACUCAUGAGUGAGAUAAAUAAGCAAACACACAUCCAGAUAUAGAAAGUAAACAGGAAAGAAAAUCAACACACAGGGGAAGCAUAAAGAGCAGAAAAACUCCAGGAAGGUAAGGAAGAGACACAACUGGACCAUGAAAGAUGAAAAUAUGUGAUCUGUCUCCGUUAAACAGUUUUGUUUUUUUAUAGCAGCUCUGUCUGAGAGCCGAAUACAGUCAGACAACUCAUGUAAAACACCGCUGCAACGAUACAAAAGCCCCUUCCUGCUCAAAUCUAUGUGUCCUCUCAUGUGUGUAAUCACAUCUGAAGUCUGCCCAAACUGUAAAACAGCUGACAAACAUUUCAGACGUGUAGGAGGUCAAGAACAUUUUCAAACAAGGAGACUCGAGCAUGAAAUGAUCAUGAAACAACGGCUAUUCUAGCGGAAAUUUUUCCCGUAUUUCAAACCUGUUUAGACUCAAAAUAAAAGUUUAAUCUAAAGUUGGUCUGCUCAGCUCAUGGUAGGAGAAGUGGUUGACCUGUUCUUGACUGGUUUGGAUUUUUCAGCUUUAUGUGCUUCACAUAGGUAGGUACUGUACCAAAACAAUCGACAAACACAUCAGCAAAAUGGAUUGUCUAUCAAACGAUGAAAACACAGACAGAUUUACAUCUCUUUUUUACAUCCCGUAACUUCCUUAAACACAUUUAUAAGACGUUCAACUUUUGAGUCAAAGCCUGAGGUGCAAACUGAGGAGCAUGCCCAGAACACUCACGCUAGCUUAGGUCAGAUUGAGGCGUACAUAGAGGAGACAAAAUCAAUUCCCAAAUGCAUUAUUGGGGUAUGUUAGUCCGACUUUAAGAAAUGUACCCAGGAUUUCCGCCACAUCCAGAACUGCAGCGAUUUUCGCUGUACGCCAAUUCCUACCGGGUCCAUUUGUGAGACUAAUUUCGUGGCGGAAUAUGGUCACCAGGAAUUGCAAGGACUUAGAAGAAUCCGCGGAUUCACGUGUAAUUGCGCGAUAACAAGUUGUCUCUAUAAAGACAGACACAUAACCAUAUAAGGAAAUGUACUCUAGACUUCUAAAAUCAGCAUUUCCUCAUUCAUGGUGUCAUCGGGGCGACAUGACGUCUGUAAACCUUUCACUUGUUCGUCUCCGCCCAUUUGCACGGUGUGAAAUACGAUCCACCUGAAACACGGGGUGUUUUAUUUUGAAAAGGAGCCAGAUGUUUUAUUUUGUGUCUGUGCCCGACUUCCUUUCCAGCACGGGUUAAUCUGUGCUGAGUUUAUCAGGUAUGCUGCACUGUCCGGAAAAAAUGGAACUCUUGCGAUCAGCUGCGGAGUCCGGCAAUCUGCAGAGGAACGGAAAGAAGCCGGUGGAAAUUGACACGUUAACUUGAAUGGUUAUGAUCAUCUACGACCGGCGGAUACGGCCUUUUCGUAGCCGUUCUGGAUGCAGUGGAAAUUGGGGGUUAAUGUGAUUCUAGUCGGGCAUGUAUUUAAAAUUCCAGAAAAUUACCACAUAAGCAUGCCCUACCAGCAGGUGGCGAUAAUGAGCAAUCAUUCUGUCAUGUCCAACAUGAAUAGAGAACAGUUUGUUGUACAGAGAGGUGAAUCAUCACCUCCAGAGGCUUUUUUUUUUUCUUUAUAAAGCUCAGUUUUUAGCGUCCUUAAACUUUCAUGUGACAAAAGGCCAAAACUAAGAAAAAAACACCUCUGUACUUGCUUGAAGUGACUCGCUUCUUCAACAUAAAACUGUUCCUAUAUGUGAGCAUUAUUUGUUCACAGCUUGUAUAUUUAGACGUGUUCUUAUUUCUGCCUCUUAGUGCGGCGGUAACACUAUUUCCCUGCAGGGUUGCAUCUCUUCCGAAGACUGGUGCUGGCCUCCCCUGCCACCAGAUUACACAGCUCUUAAAAGUAAAAUGUCAGAGUCAGAAAUGUUUGAUAUCUCCAUUCAGCUCUGGAUAAAACGUCCAGGGUCCUAAGGUAAAAAAGGGACGCAACAGACCUCCCUUUAGUUCUACUAAUGCUGCCCUGAGAGGGAUUAGGAGAAAAAACAGGACAGGAGAGAAACGCGAUGGAGGAUUGGGGACAAGCUGAAGGUACUUAAUUUAACAUGAAGACCAGCAUACAAUAUUUAAAGGUGAGGUACUUUUUUUCAAUGUAGCCGGCAGUUUAUCUCCACAGAGAAGAAGGUAAUCCUUCACAAUCUGUUAAGCUGGUGUCACUUGAUGGUGUUUCUUCUUUCACAGAGAGAUGUAGAGUUUAUUAUCCUUAAAAAAUACAAUCCAAGCGCGGCCCGUCAGAUUCAGAGGGAGGAGGAAACCUGUGAUGAGUCAAAAAUAACCCAUGCAGGAGGGUUUUAUUCACCGUAUUCAGUCAUAGUUGGUUUUCCUCUCAUGUCACAUUCAGGUGAGAAGCUGUUACAGAAUUAUACUGCUGUGUUUCAGGUGUGGACAUCAUGAGUUUUCAGAGAGAUAUGGAUUAUUUUGCCUUUUUUGGGCUCAUUGGCUCAUGAAAAGAGAGAACAGUAAAAAUCCUGAGGGUUAAGGUUGUACAUUUAAACUGAAACUACAAGAAACUACACAUCAGCAUUUCUAACCUUAACCCCAACCCUGGACCCCUAAUUCUGUAAGCCUAACCCUGACAUUUACCCCUUUUAUCUAAACCCUGAAUUCUAACCAUGUUAAUCCUAACCCCAAUCCUGAAAACCUAACUCUGUAACCCUGACCAUCUAACCCUAAUUCUAACCCUUACUUUCACCCCGUCUUAUUCUAAUCCUGAAAUGUAACCCUGAAACCCAGAGCUUAACUCUCUAAACCCUAACUUCAACCCUUACCUUUACCCGUCUUAUCCUAACCCUUGCCCUAACUCCUGUCUAACCUUUAGCCUCUAACCCUAACUCUAACCCUUACCUUUACCCCUGUCUUACCCUUGCCCUAGGCUCUGUCUAACCCUUACCUGAUUACUAACUCCUAACCCUAACUUCUGUCUAACCCUUACCCCUGCCGAACCCUAACCCUAACCGGCCAACCCAAUCAUUAAUCCCAACCCAAACUUCUUUCCAUCCCUAACCUUAUUACUAUACCCUAACCCUAACCUCUAUCUAACCUAGGCCUGUCACGAUAACAAAUUUUGCUGGACGAUAAUUGUGCGACAAAUUAUAGCCGAUAAACAAUAUUAUUGACACCGUUUUUUAAAUUAUAGAUAAUGAUAUUAAAUGGCAUAAUAAUGCGAGUGCACCGUGUCAAAAGUGACAAACUUUAAUUUCCACACGAGAUAAACACUGGUUGUUUUCGUUGACUAAAAUAUUUCCCUUUUCUCCCACGACGAAGACGUAACGUUGACGAGCUAAACAUAAGUCGGAGAUGACUAAAAUGUGACGAGACGAAAGUGCGUUUACGUUGAUGGGACGAGACGAAAAUGACGAACAGAGUUGCAAAACUCAGUCAGUUAAACGCUAAACAUAUAGGAGCAGCUUCAGUCCGCUCUGACAGCUCUCAUCAGCCUGCUGUGCUCCUCCAACACAGACACACGCGCGCGCACACACGUGGAGUUUUGUGGUUGACGAAAACAAAACUGGUUUAAAGCCGAAAUAUUCCCACACUUGGGCUGCUGCGUUCGGUUUAGACACCAAAGCUGUCGUGUUCAUUCUGUUUGCUUGCUUUUCACUCACGACGCUCACUUGCGGCACUGUAUCCAAAAGUCUGUGUCUGUGUGCCUGUGCGCGCCUACGUGUAGCUGUGCGCGCGCCCCCUCGUGACAAAGACACUGAAUGACUGACAGGAGGGUUCACUAACUCCGUUCAUUCCGCUAUAGAGCCAACGCCCCCAGGUGCCGAGAAAAAUGCGCAGAGUGAGACCUCUUCUCUCAACCAGCGUGUUUGGUAGUGAGAGAGGAGGAAAACAAACGCACGUCAAUUAUCGAGGCUGGCAAAAUGACCGACCUCGUUUUUAUUUAUCGAGCGAUAAGGCGAUUUAUUGAUUAUCGCGACAGGCCUAAUCUAACCCUAACUCUUGUCCAACCCUAACCCGCGAACCCUAACUCAAACCCUUUCCUUUACCCCUGUCUUACCCUUGCCCUAGGCUCUGUCUAACCCUUACCUAAUUACUAUAUCCUAACCCUAACUUUUGUCUAACCCUUACCCCUCCUGAACCCUAACCCGAACCGGCUAAUCCAAUCACUAAUCCCAACCUUAACUUCUGUCUAACACUAACCUGAUUACUAUAUCAUAACCCCAACCCUCAUCUAACCCUAACCCCUGUCCAACCCUAAUCUGCUAACCCUAUCAUUAAUCCUAACUCUAACCCCUGUCUAACCCUCUAACCUGAUCACUAAUCCUAACCCCAACUCCAAUAUAAUCCUUACCCCUGUCCAACCCGAUAACCUGAUAACUAAACCCAAACCCUAACCCUAACCCUGUCUAAGAUAACAAACACAGGUCAAACUUGUUGUAAUGUUUUAUAUCCACAGCUGUUUUUGGUUCCAACUUAAUUUACUAUCUAUUAUUUAACUGAACUGAAAUUGUUUAUUUUGAUCAGACUGAAAAGAAAUAAACUUAUUUUUGUUAAGUAUCUGAAAAGGAGAGAAAGUAACACCUAUAGUCAGACCCUUUUUAUCCACCAACAUAUAUAAUAAUCAUCUCUUAUCUGAUAAUUAAAUCUGUUUAGUAAUCGUCUUUGUUUAAUAAUAAUUCAUAAAUAUAAACUUAACAUUUAUAAGUUAAUCAUCAUAUAACUGAAGCUCAGAUGUAGCUUAGAAGCUGUUGAAUGCUAACGUUAUGUCAGCUGCUCUCUUUAAAAAGCUAAUGGGGUCAAAAAAUUUAAUACUUUAUUAUAUACUCUCUUAUACUGUAUGUCAUAAACGUCAUGUAAGGACGACCUGUCUUCUGUGGGAUUAAAUCAAACUCUACGUUAACAUGUUAGCAAUGUUAAUGUUAGCACCUCAGGGAAACUCAAACACUUGAAUCGACAUUUCAGACAUUUAUACAGUAAAUGAUUAAAAUUAUGUCCCUUUGUCCCUCUUUCUUUCCAUUGUGCACUAAAUUUUUGUAAGUCUCUUUCUACUGCUGUGUAAAUCCUGAACACAGUAGCCUUAAGUUAUAACAGUAUGUUAGCUCCUGAAGUAAUGGAGAAAUGCCUGCUGAGAAAGUAUAGUAAUUUUCUAUCAUUAAAGCAUGUUAGCGCGAUGUUACUUCCUCGAAGAAAGGAACAGGACGAAUCAAAAGUUCUGAAUCCAGAGACUUAAAUAUAAUUACUGAAUUUACCCAGCGCACACAGAGAGAUAAAGAGCAACAGGUCCAGAAAUACAGCAGUGAACCUUUAUGAAGAAGAAAGAGCCUGAGAAACAGAGAGGACAGAGUUCAGAUAAGGUGCAGUCUUCAUUUUCCUCCCUUUGGAAGUAACAGCCAACUUAUAAUACAAAGAGAGACUCUUCAGGCGCUGCUUCAGUGGCAUCUCAGCUCUGCUCUUUCAUCUCUGAACACUCAGCUGAAAACUGACACAACCUAAAAGGCACAUCCAGAGCAAAAAGGAGAGCUGAUGGGGUUCAGCUGCCGUUUGUUGUCUCAUUAGGUUGCUGUGUGUGUCUCUGCCUCUCGACCGGUGCUGUACUCUGGCACCGCUGAAAAACAGACUCUCCCCAUCACUCAAGAUCCAAGAUAUAUUCGACACGAGAGCCGUGGUGAGCUACAGCGAUUCUUCACUUCUCUCUUUCUUGUCACAGUUGUUAUGAGAGUAUCAAAGAUUUGUCAGUCAAAUGAGUCUUUCUUCUUCUGUCUCCUCCAGUCAAACGACACAGUGAUGACAGAACCUUUAUCCCCCUGAUGUUGUUAUCUGUGAGGCGCCAUUCCUGGAAAGAAGAAGUCGGAUUUACUCACUGAAGUCUCAAAGUUUGGGUCACGGGUCCAAGGCGAGUAAAAUCAUUCGCACAAAUGAGUUACAUGUUAAAGGGAUAUUCCGGCAUAAAAUUUAGUUGGGGUCAAACACACCAUAACACUGAGUUAGACACCCCCGCCAAGAGAUGAUGUCGCCGACCGCUUGCUUCUCUAGUUAUACCAACUUUAGUAACGACCGCAGGAUAGCCAUAAACCUCAACCAAAUCGCCACUCUAUAGCCACAAGUAAUGCUCAGAACAGCUCCUAACUUCAUCAACAGUCCCAGCAAAAGCAUAAGCCACCAAACAUCUUUUUAACUUUGACUAAUUUCUUUAGCAAAGAGACUAAACACAACUCACCUACUCUCUUCCAGUAGCCGUUUGUUUGUAGCGAGUCCUCAGGCCAGUCCAUUUAAGUCAAUGCAAAGAUGCGAUUAGACGCUCGUACUACUCUGGCGUCGCAAUAACCAAUCAGCACGAAGGUUGCCGGGUGACGUUUGAAAACAGACAGUUGUUCAAACUGAUCAUGUUGGUGUGUGGGUGCCCCGACUUACAUGAUACCUUUUCUUUCAAUUACCGAAACCAGAUUAAAAAGGAGCUUACCUUGAGGCAAGUGUGACGGCCUGAGGGUCUGUCUUUGGUGCAUCCUGCUUUCCCCUGUUUUGCUGGCUCUGUGUCUUGUUGAAGGUAGCUGUGGGUGGAGCUAACCUGAGAGAGCGCUUGAUGGUGAUGCGGCACACCUGAGCAGGGUGGGGCUCAGCUGGUUUUAAAGCUGAGCUGCACCACAGUCUGCUCUCUCUUCUCUCUCCUUUUUUGAGCCUUGUUGUGACAAAAUGGGGGCUCGUCCUAUUUACUACUUGCUUGGGUGAGUUUCUUAUACUGUUUAAGAAGCUUGUUUGUAUCUGCUGUUCCUCUAUCUUGGCUCUUGAGUGCAUUUGUAAGAGUUUUGGCUUGUGUUUGGAGGAUAGGGGGGUGGUUUUGAUCGGUGAAUUUAUUAGUCUUGUUAUGGCAUGUGCGAGGUAGUUUUGGGAGGCCUUGUAGUCUGUAUGAUGCUUUUGGUCGUGAAUGUGGUCAGCUUGGUUGGGGUUUCACAACUUUUAUUGGUUUAGGAUUUGUUUUGCCCUGCUUUAGUCCUCAUUAAGUCUCCACAAAUAACAACAAACCAUGUUUUAGCUCCCAAAUGGAGAGAGUUGAAACUGUAGAAACAUGAGGGGCAGUGGGCACCAGUCGUUAUCCCCUGACUACACCCCUGGAUCAAGUGUGAACUCCCAUUUUUUUAAGACGACGGUUUUUUGGAGGAACUUUCAGCCAAUGCCAUGCAAAGCAUCACAGUAAUCCCAUGGUUGAAAGUAAUAUGAAGCUUAAUUUCUUGCAAGAGCACAUUUUUUAAUAAUGUCAACAGAGACACAAGGAGAGAUCAAGUGCUGCCUGAGUGAAUUAAAGACAGGGAGUGCUCAAACGUCUCUGUGCAUGCAUAUUUUACUUUUUUCAUCGGUGCAUAAAAAUAUCAGGUGGAAUUCAAUCAUUUGGGUUAAAUUAUUGAAGAAAUACUUUGAUACUUAAAGUUCUGCAUCUUUGAAUAUGAACCUAUACGCUCUGACAAUAGAUACAGUGUAAUAAGUCUGUUGAUGAUGCACUUUAUCCUACUGAAUGCAAAGUGCUUGAGUGUCUUGAAAACCAAUUUGCAGGUUCCUUUGAGUUGCAGAUUGGAUCGAAGGUUGAGCAGAACAAAGAUGAAGAUGAUGGUGUGCAGCUGUUCCUGUGAAGCCCUUUCCUGCUUUUACCAGCUUUGAUGAGGAGCAUUGAUUAUGAGGGAUGAAGCUUCCUCUCUGCUUACCGUAACAUUUCAACAGCUUACAGUAUCUGCACUCCAACUCGUACCGCACUGCGCUGCGUAUAUAAUAACCAAUCUUUAAAGACAGCGGAUCUGCAUUGUGCUCCAUAAUCAGUUCUGCUGCGUAAAACGUGCGGUGAAAUGAACUUGUGGACGCAGAAAUUACACUGAAGCCAUAAUAUUGAUUUCAUUUCUCUCCGGCUGGUGCUGGGACUUGUUAAACAGGUGUCCGUUGAUGCUUUUGCAGAGUUAUUCCACGCUUUGCUGGUAAUGCAGAGGAAGAGUAAUGCGAGGAGACACAUCAAGGUCACCCUCUCCCCCUGCAGCCCCCGCAGAGGUGCAUCUUCACUGCCCCGCUGUCCCCGCAGCCAGCUGUGCAGGCCUGGAUGUGUCGGCCAGGUGUGAAUGAAUGUGAAGUAGCCGCAUGAAUGUGAAACAGGCUGUGACUGAUAAAGAACAUGAGGGCCUCGGGAAACUUCCCCUGAUGAAUAAAAUGUUAAAGGUGCAGUCUAAACAUCAAUAUAUCAAUGUCAGAGCAAUUAGAGCUCAGGAGAGCACAAUGGAGACGGCUGCCUGCAGCUCCGGCCUGCAGGGGAGCGCCUUUUAGAGGAUGAGACUAUUUUCAAAGGUGCUUUGUGAUUAAAGCUACGGUACGCAAUUUCUUUUAGAUGCAUUUUUGUAACAGUGUACUAUUUCAAUUCUCUAAAAACAGCAAUUAGUUAAUCAAAUUCUACUGAGGAAGAAAAGGAAAUGUGUUUUUUUCUGUGGCUGUUUAAUUAGAAAUGAUACUCUUGACUGCACACAGCUGCACACAUGUCAUUUUUGCAAGUCCAAGUCAAGUCUUGAGUGUUUGGUCCAAGUUUAAUGGUUGCUCCCAUAGACUGUAUAAACUAUGGACAACUUGGUUCCACCUUCCGUCAGUAUACGGAUUUGAUUCUGAAAAGCUCUCGAUAUUUCCGCGAUUUUUAUCCAUUUCCUGAAACCAACAUUGCACAGUCGUGUUGUACACACUCCACCACUUGCGCAGUAGCGUUGUGUGUAUUCGGCAGGGGAGUCACCAAGAGUCGCUGUGAUGACGCUCAGCUCAAACAGCUACACAACCUUUGUACGCCCGUAAGUUUUGCUGGCGGAGAUGGGAUUUAUGAUCUAUACUGCAGCCCAUCACCAGAGGGUGCUGUUCUCAGAGUGGCUAAAUCCAGGAAGGAGGCAGACUCUGUCCAUUCUAUAUACAGUCUAUGGUUGUUCCUUUAUUGAUCGAGGAUAGCACUCUUGUACGGAUUUUAAAAAAAGACUAAAAAUGGUCAGUCGAUGAGCUCAAGCGAACCUCCUAGUUAUGGUCCAUGUGUGAAAAGCUCUGUGCCGUUCCAGCAGCGGCUGAUGUGAUGCGGGAUGGUCAAGACAAGUCUUUAAGGAGCUGAGUCAGCACACUUUGCUCCUCCUUGCACAUGUAAGAUGUCCUCCACAGACAGGCAAGAAGAGAGCAGCAAGUUAGUUGCAGACCCCUGCGGAAUCCAUCACCACGAUUACAUGCACAGCUUAAUCUAAACGGACUAAUCUUAUAAUUCUUUUUUUUACGCCAAAUUGGACUUCUCUCCUUGUCAGGGUAUACAUGCAGCUGAGGAAAUCGAAUUAUUGACAUGAACGUGUCCUCCUCCCCAAAACUAGGGGGCGAUAUGGGUCUUUUCAGUGGCGCUGUUUCCAGUUGUUACCACAACAACAUCAGAAGUGUCUCCAACUGCUGCUGGGCAUUUUCGAGCAAGAAGACAGAGCAUCGUACAGCGUUGUUUUUGUCGUACAUGAUUUACGCGCUACUUUUCUGCAGAUGAAAUGCACGCUACUCCUCUUCUCUGGUGUUUUUAUUCCAGGGUUAUGGGGCGUGGUGCACGCACACAUGCAUUGUCCGAUCAUACUGCGACUAUGCCGGUUACAUGGUAGAGAAAAUCGAAUUCCAAUCGCAUUAUCUGGGUGUCUUAAUCAGAGUUCUUAAACUCCAAUUACGUAGUCAGAUGUUUACAUGCACUACAACUGUCGAGUCUUCAUUGAAGUAAGGUAAUAAUUUGGUUUUCUUGAGUGUCAUGUAAACGUACUGGAUGUCAUGCACAGCUUCUCUAUCAUGUGUUGUUUAAUUUUAGCCCUAAUAAGAAUCGUUUUUUUCUGGUAUAUCUGGUAUUUACAAUUUCUGUAAAUUGCUCUAAGUUGUGCUAAGCGAUAACUUUCUUCUGCACUAUUUCCCCGACUGUAAUGCCAUGUAUUAAUGAAAUAUAGUAUAAUCCAAGUGGUUAAUAUGCACAUUUCCUUAGAGUAAUCAAAAAGUUGUAAAAUUGUGUUGAAUUUAAAAGCAAAAAGAACAAAAAGAGGAGCUGUUAGGAAGAUGAAAGAGCCGACUCUGACUGCAGAGCUGAGCCAAAUGAUCUCCGUCACUAAAAAGAGGCAGAAUUCCCAUCGCCACCUCUUACUCAGCGUCUCUCAUGGGCCCGUCCUCCAACAUUAGUGAGGAAACGGGGAUUUUUUUCUGUGUUUGAGUUUGUAGUUGAACAUGUUCAAACUCCAAUUUCCCCAAAGUUGUCUGGCCUUGCUAGAAAAAAAGGGUGUUCGACUAUUUUUAGUUCCCCGAGUGUCUACAAGAGUUUGUCAGCCUAAAAAAUCCAAGGUCUAAAUAAUCUAAAAUUUUCAGUGAUGCAAUACAGAGAAAGGCAACAAUCCGAACAUUUUUUUAUAGAAACAAUUCAAAGAGCGAGAGAUAGUUGAUGAUUAAUUCAACAGUGUCAUAAAAACCUCCUUCAGCUGUUUGUCCUUCAGGAAACCUUACAUGUAAAUGAAAUCUGUCUGCACCAGGAAAUUCAGAAAGACUGCACAACAAGAGUGUUUAAUACUCAUCCUCAUCACCUGACUGUGUGAAAUACUUGAUUCUGAUUGGACAGAACCCCAUUACAACUUCAGACCCUGACAUGUAAAAUCAAUCUGCAUAAAGGAGUCUGACAAAUUUCACCUAUAUUUACUCUAGUUCCUUAUCUAUACAUGUAUAUACGGUAUAUAUGUAUGUAUAUGGUGUGUAUAUAUUAUUUAAAGCUUUGUAUUGGAAACUUGUUGAAAAGGAGGGACGUGACCAAGCAGCAAUAACUGGACUUGAGAAAUUAAACUGCAGUUCCUUGAGUGUCCACUUGGGGCUGGCUGCAGAAGUGCCAGAAACCACAUAGACACUCAUUCAAAAAAGCUCAUUUUUACUAAAUAAACAUGUUUGAAGCCUGGUUGAAACAACAAAAAAGGUUCUUUUAAGUAGAGAUGUUGUAAUAUUGUGAACGAAGAGGAAAUAUCAUAAUAGAGAUAAAAUUGUGUCAUUUGUGGAUUUAUGGAUAACUUGAAAGUAAAACAACACAGAUAGAACAAAGCUAACCCCUAUUUCCACCGCAAACGGAAAGGCAGAGAUUUUCGCCAUCUGCCAAUUCCUACCAGAUACCAGAUUUGUGAGGCUAAUUUUGGACAGCGGGAAUCACGAGUUUUAUGUUGUGUCUGAGCCUGACUUCCUUUCCAACACGGACUAAUCUGUGCUGAAUUUAUGCAGCAUGCUGCGACAUCCGGAAAAAAUAGAACUCUGGCGAUCGGCUGCGGAGUCCGCUGAACUUCAGCGGAACGGAAAGAAGCCAGUGGAAAUUGAUUCAGAAAUUUGAAUGGCCUAUUUGCAGCCGUCCUUGACAAGAGUCGAGUGAACAUAAAUUUAACUAAUAAAUACAAGUAUUUAACGUGUCAACAUCCAUCUCUAUUAAUAUUCAAAUUAAUAACCGUCAGUUGAAACUUUUCUUGAGUUGACAUUUCCUCACUAAACUGUUGGUCAUGCUUUUAUUUUGAAAUCUUCCGAUAGCGGUUUGGGUAAGCAGUAAAGCAAGAAGAGGGCUGGUGUAUUGUCAGCGGGUGGUUAUGUUGAUUAAAAUGACGACAUAAUGACACAUUAUCCUCGACAUAUCUCAAAGCUAGAGUCUCAGCUUUGACUGUUUGUGUUUAUUUGUGCGUUUAGGAUUAAUGUCCUUGUUUAUUUGCUUUGUCUCCUCUUCACUGCUGCUCUCAUACCCAGCUGCCCUCCUCUGUCCUCUGUCUCUAGUCGACCCCGGCACACUGCAGGCACACAACAGCGGUAUAUAAAUCAGUAUCCAUAAUUAAUAUUCCCUGAAGAAAGCCGUGCAGCCGAGCACUUCAUAUCUGUUCUCCAUUAUUAAGUUGAGAGUUAAUAAAGUCUCGUGGAGGGCGAUGCUGCAGCGAGGAAUCCUCUGUAUUGAUUGCACUUCGUUUCCAGCAGCUGUGAGUCACAAACAGGUGUCAGAUGAAAAUAUUUGUUUGUUUUUUUUUAUUCAGCCUGCUGUGUCUGCAGUGCGGAGGAAAAGGAGGAAUAAGAGGUUACACAUCAGUGUCACUCACUGUCAUCUCCAGCAGAGUCACAAACCAACACAUGGUGUGAUAUUCUGCAGUUUAGUACACACAAGAUCUCAAACAGGAGGGAAUAUCUUCAAAUCAUCUUUUUUUAUUCAUGUUCAUAUUUUUCAAAGCUAAAUCAAAAUCAGCUGUCAAUCAACAAGUGAGACUGAAUCAGCAUCUUUUAUUUCCAAUUUUGAUACUGUGAAAAAUCGAACAUUUCCUUUCUUGUCUGUAAUAUAAAAGAAAUAAUUUAGUUUUUGCAUUUUUAUUUGAAAAAAUGAUGUUUUGUAUUCAUAAGAGGGGAUUUUCAGGGUUUGUGCUAAUAGGUUUUGUUGCUUUUGUGAGUUAUAAAAAGGCAAAAUUUUAAAUUUCACUCUUUUUCAUAAGCAGCUCAAAAGUCUUCAUUUGGGUUUUGAAGCUCCAGUGAAGUAUCACUUUGUCCACAGGGGGCGCCAAAGUCAGUGCAAACCUAAAGUUCCACUUAAGAGCUUUAAAGUCAAUUUUUUAAAUUCAUAAUUAAGUCAAAAUUCUCAGAUGUGAGUUUUUUCUUUUCAGUGUUGGUUUAAUGUUAAUGUUGUUGAGGAUUUAUUCCUUUCUUGCCUUUCAUAUCAAGUAAUUUAGUUUAAAAAAUAAUUUAGUUUUUGCAUUUUUAUUUAAAAAAUUGAUGUUUUAUAUUCAUAAGAGGAAAGUGUCAGGGUUUGUGCUGAUGGGUUUUGUCGCUGUUUUGAGUUAUAAAAAGGCAAAAUUUUAAAUUUCCGUCUUUUUCAUAAGCAGCUCAAAAGUCUUCAUUUGGGUUUUGAAGCUCCAGUGAAGUAUCACUUUGGCCACAGGGGGCGCCAAAGUCAGUGCAAACCAAAAGUUCCAUUUAAGAGCUUUACAGUCUAUUUUUUUAAUUCAUAAUUAAGUCAAAAUUCUCAGAAGUGAGUUUUUUCCAUUCAGUAUUGGUUAAAUGUUAAUGUUGUUGUGCCCGAGUACUUCAUUUCUGUUUCAUGCUGCGACUCCAGAAUGACAAUGAAGCUCCCUGAGCUCUUCUGUGUCACUCUCUAAAAACAGCCUCCACGCUCAGAGGCAGUCGCGGCUCAGCGGUACAGCGGGUUGUCUCCCGAUCAAAGCGUUGGAAGUGCAGUCACAGCUCCUGCAGCCUGAAGUGUCCAUAGGCAAGACAUCAAACUGGAGCGCUGAUGGUCGCUUGGCGUGGCGUCCUCUGCCACCAGUGUAAGAAUGUGACACGAUGAGUGGUCGCGAAGGCUUACUCUCUGGUUGGAAAUUCUGAGUUUUGACCAAAAAUGCUUGAGUGUAGAUAAACACUAAAGAAAAUUAGAUUAUUGAAUUAAAUUUUUGCUGUUUUCUUUUGCAAAUCUUGAGUUUCCUUCAGUAAAAAAAAAAAUCUUGAGAGUUCCUGCAUCCUCGGCCAAACCCCAAAAUGAAGACGAUUAAAGGGAUAUUCCGGCGUAAAAUUAAUUUAGGGUCAAACACACCGUAACACCGAGUCAGAUACCCCCUUGAGAGAUGAAUGUUGUUUAGUAACGACCGCAGGAUAGCAAUAUUCAUCUCUCAAGGGCGUGUCUGACUCGGUGUUAAGGUGUGUUUGACCCUAAAUUAAUUUUACGCCGGAAUAUCCCUUUAAGACAGACGUAAAUGAAUCAUGCAACUAAGAGAUUUUUCCCCGUCAUGUAGAGUCAUGAUGAGAUUUGCGAGACUUUAACUGAGGAAAUAGACCUUUUUACAGAUAGCUGUUAAUAACAGGUGGUAGAAGGCCGAGCUACACAUCUGCAUCUACACCACACAUUGCUGAACUCAACAGGAACACAAUUUUGAGCUUUCCUCCCCGAAAAAAACGACUUGUUUUUUUACAGAUGAACCUCUAUUCCAGAUUUUAUGGAAGCCGGAUAAACCACAUUAUACUGUCUUAAUAGCGCACAAGAUUUAUCAUACAGACGUCUGUAGAGAAAAGAAGAUAAAUCAAAACAGCAAUCUGGAGAAGUUGGCUCAGACUACAAAAACAUCACCCUGUAGAGACGUGGAUGCUGGAGUUGGUUCUCAGGUUUGAUACUCUUCAUUGGUUCCUGCGGAGAACCGUGCUCAUGGUUGUUGUGAAGCGUCUCUUGGGAAACCGUCAUGUAAAGCAGUGACCCGAGCGAAAUGUGAAACAUGCACAGGGAGAGGAUAGCGAGUCCAUGGAGGCAGGUUUCAGGAGCUGGAGCUCAAACAAUACUUUAAUCUGUUCAUGUGGUGCAGAAAAAAAAUGUAAUUUGAUUGUAACUUGGUCUCAGAUUCAGAGCCUAAUGAGCUCCUUUAAAGAACAGAGACGUGAGCUCAACAACGUUUUGGCUGAACUGUAGAAAAACUCGGCUUCCUUUAUAGCGGCAGGUAGAAAAGGAUUUAGAGCACUGGAGGCGAGACCAUAUUGAAGAGUGAAUUACAAUUUCCAUCCCAGCUUGAGACACAUUGAGCCUAAGUCCCUCAGCAAUGUGUCUCAGUUGGAAAUAACAAGAGUAAAUCAAAAACUUGACGGUGGGUCUGGUUUCAUACGGUCUCGUUGGAAUCAAACACUUGUUUCUUUUAUUUGGAAGUGACAAUUCCAGCUUUCUCCCGCUCAGGAGGGAGUGUCCGUGGAAAGCUUUUGGUCAUGAUGCACGGGAAAGCUUUCAGCAUCCAUGAAAACCUCUCAAAUGCUUGUUUGCGCGCCUUUGUGCUCAGUACCUUUGGCAGAAUUUGAAUAAAUGGACAACUUCCAUUUCCACAGGUAGCCUUCCAGUGCUUCCAUUAGUCAAAGUGACUUUAACCCAAUUUCUAAUGCUUUUUGGCUUUAUUUAGAGAGGAAAUAGGAAGAGAAAGCAGGGAGUUUCACCUCAUGUUGGUGUUUUUCACAUUUUCAGUCACGUCCACCUCUACUUACUAAUCCCAGCAGUGUAAAAAUCCCUGCAGGACAAAUGAAAACAUUGAGGCACAGAGCAGAAUGAUAAUAGCUAGGACGAAGCAUGUUUGGGGAAAUGUGUUGAAUGUGAUCUCUAUUUUAUGUCCCAUCUGUCAUUCAGAAGUCCUACACAGCAGCCAAUCACCGGAGGGGACUCCAAAAGUUUGGCCUCACCCAGGAUAGUCGUUUCUCCAUCCAUGGUUUUUACAGCCGUUACCGUCAAAUCUGAAUUUUAUGUCUUUCACUCUUAAUUUACAAGUUUCUUUUACCCUCGAAAUUUGUGUAUGGAAAUUUCACAGUUAUCUAUAAACCCGAAUUGAGUCAAAGUCUGUCAUUCUUCCACCUUAGCGCUC
RNAcentral lists this long non-coding RNA (15669 nucleotides) under Xyrichtys novacula (pearly razorfish). Lineage: Eukaryota; Metazoa; Chordata; Actinopteri; Labriformes; Labridae. The record is from RNAcentral.